This 447-nucleotide ribosomal RNA is filed under the name uncultured bacterium. Its description in RNAcentral is "bacterial SSU rRNA". It matches the Rfam family "Bacterial small subunit ribosomal RNA", at positions 330 to 793 of the family's 1533-position model. The record is from RNAcentral.
UCCAGACUCCUACGGGAGGCAGCAGUGAGGGAUAUUGGGCAAUGGGGGAAACCCUGACCCAGCGACGCCGCGUGAGGGAAGACGGUCUUCGGAUUGUAAACCUCUGUCUUUGGGGACGAAAAAGGACGGUACCCAAGGAGGAAGCUCCGGCUAACUACGUGCCAGCAGCCGCGGUAAUACGUAGGUGGCGAGCGUUGUCCGGAAUUACUGGGUGUAAAGGGAGUGUAGGCGGGAAGGCAAGUCUGAAGUGAAAUCCCAUGGCUUAACCAUGGAACUGCUUUGGAAACUGUGCAGCUGGAGUGCAGGAGGGGUAAGCGGAAUUCCUAGUGUAGCGGUGAAAUGCGUAGAUAUUAGGAGGAACACCAGUGGCGAAGGCGGCUUACUGGACUGUAACUGACGUUGAGGCUCGAAAGCGUGGGGAGCAAACAGGAUUAGAUACCCGCGUAG